Molecule: long non-coding RNA, 197 nt
Organism: Nematostella vectensis (starlet sea anemone)
Lineage: Eukaryota; Metazoa; Cnidaria; Anthozoa; Actiniaria; Edwardsiidae
Exons: 2
Source: RefSeq, a predicted model, not a curated record
GUAAGUAAUAGUUCACAUUAAAAAGCGAACAAAACCACAAGAAAGCGACAAAAUUCAAGGGACUACCUGAGGGCCAAGAUGAAUGCUAAAGACUGGAAGACAUGAGAAUUGAAAAUCAUGUCUUCAAAGACAUGUCUGAAAGACAGUAGGGAGUUCUUAUUCACUAGUCAUUUGAUACCCCCACACACAUGGUCCCA